This 12156-nucleotide long non-coding RNA is filed under the name Capsicum annuum. Its description in RNAcentral is "long non-coding RNA (CANN_LNC010696)". The record is from RNAcentral. Lineage: Eukaryota; Viridiplantae; Streptophyta; Magnoliopsida; Solanales; Solanaceae.
GGCCUAAAUUUGCCUAAACGCGCAAUGAAUUAUUUAAUUAAAUAUGUGAAUCAAUUUUAAUAUAAAAUGUUAACGGCCUAAAUUUGCCUAAACGCGCAAUGAAUAUUUGUAUAAAAGCAUUCCCUCCCCACGCCCCAAAAAUAAAAUUUUCACUAUAAAUGAUACUUGUACAAUGAUAAGAAUAAAAGAAAAUACAAAUACAAAAAAAAUUCAAGAUCUUCUUUGAAUAUCAGUCCUGACGAGUAUUCUCGAGAACCUACACAAACACUUGUAAUAAAAAUAUUAGUAAUAAAUAAAUAUUUACCAAAAUAAAUUUAAAAGGUAUGUGUGCAUAUAUGCGUUUAAAAAUAUUUUUUUUUGCUAAAAUAUGGGCUCAAAUUAGAUUUUAGAUACGACAUGGAUACGAAGUGGUUGCUGAUUUAUUAGCUGUCCUAAAUCGUCUUGCCAAGAUAGAAUCAUAAAAAAUUUUGCGUUGUUAUAAAAAUUUCAUCAUCGCCCAAAUUUAUUUAUUUUAUUACGUAUUUAUAUACAUAAUAUCCAUCUUUUAUAAUGGGGUGACCUCAAAUAUCCAGACGGAGAGAUAAUUUCAUUGACCAAUAGCAUAGUAUUUGUUCAUUAUCAAUUUAAUAAAAUUAAUAUGGACAAAAAUGUAAUGUAAUUGCCCCAAAAGAGAGACAAUAUCAACCAUGAAACUAGCAUAGCAACAACCCAAAACAAAGGCAAUAACAGCUAUGAUACCAGUAAAGUAACAACCAAAAUAAAUGCAAUAACAGCUAUGACACCAGCAAAGUAACAACCAAAAUAAAGGCAAUAACAACUAUGAUACCAGGAAAGUAACAACCAAAAUACCCGAACAAAUCACAAAUCCGCUAAAGAUUUAAAAAAAAUAAUAUAAUGAACAGCAACAAAUAAAUCAAGCAAAUAAUUACAACAUAUGCAAAUAUGUAUCAAAGAAGAGGUCGCCGGAUACGACAUCUUGUCUGUCAGAUCCAUGCAAAAAAAGCCCACAACAUACAAAAUUAAUGAGACGCAGUUCAUCAGAAGUAAAAAGUCGAAGCAAUGGUAAUUACCGGCGUUGCUUCAACGACUUUCGUCGGAGCAACCCCGGAUACACCAAGCACCGGAUAGAUAUGGUGGUUUGUCACUAGGGGGAUUCAUCGGAAAGUUAAAAAAUGAGGGUGGCGCUAGUGGUUUAGGCUAGAUCUCGCUAGAGAUGGAGGAAGAGGAGAGAAGGGAGAGAGGGGUGGUGGUGCGUGAUGGUUUGCCAGAAUUUGGCUAUAGCUCACCCGAGAGAGGAGAGAAAAAAAAGGUCCACUGAUUUUGUGCUUAUGUACGUGUAUUGUGUGUGUGGAGCAUUUAAAAAAGGAAAAAUAAAAAAAAUAAUAUUCAUAUCUACUUUUUCCCAACAAGUCUCUCAAAUUAGGGAUAGUAGGUGAACAUAAAGUCAAAAAAUUUAAAAAGUGAGGAGACCUUGAUUUGACUAAUUUAUUAUUUUGUGUAUUAAAAUAAUUAAAUCAACUCACUUUUGCAGGUCGCAUUAAAUAACAUAUAAAAUAAUGAAUGAAUGUGAUCUUCUCUAAAUCUCUAACGGUCAUAUUUGACUGUUCGGCGACGGAGCUGCACCGUCACACGUAAGGAACAUCCUCCCUCCCUCAUUCUCUCCUCCUAGUUUCUCUCUCUCUCAGGCUCUCUCUCUAUCUCGAGAUUUCUCUACCACAAUGUCACUACUAUCGCCGAUGAAUUUAGGAUUUCUGCUGACUCAACUCCGACGAUGAUGCAGGGUGUAGCAUCGAUCAGAACUGGUUAAAACAGUUAGUCCGACGAUGAUCGGUGACCAAAUUCUGGCAACAACAGGAAGACACUUUGGAGAUAUUUUCCGGCAGCACUUUCCAGCAGCUCUAUUUUGGCAACCUAUUUUGACAUCAACACUGCCGUAACCAGGAAAUGCAGUACUCCGGUGACAUCCAAACCUUUUUCUUUAAUUAAGCUUUAGUGACUCCGGCAACCUUUUUUUCUUUAGUUACACUUUAUUGUUUGUUUUUUAUUGUUUCCCUGUUUGUGUUUUAUUGUUGUUUUUUUUAUUGUUUCCCUGUAGUGUGUUCUGGUGCAUAUCUGUUAUUUGCCUACUGUUUACAUAUUGUUGCUUUGUUGGUUUGUCAGUCUAUCUGCUGGUCGAUUUGGGGCCUUAUUACGAUUUUUGGGUAGUGGUUGUGGGGGUUUGGGGCUUUGUUAUGAUUUUUUAGUAGUGGCUGUGGGGGUUGAUAUUGGAGUAGGGUCAUGUUUAAGGGGGUUGGGGUUUGGGGCAAUUUUGGGAGGGGAGAAAAGGGGAGUGCAAGGGUGGGUGUGGGAUCUAGGCCAGGUAUUCAGGCUGGGCCAGCGAGGGGUGGAAGAGGUAGGCGAGAGGCGAGAGGAGAUAGGUUGAGGGUAGGGUCUUAGAACAUAGGGACCCUUCAAGGUAAGUCUAUAGAGUUGUUGAAAAUUCUUAAGAAGAGAAGGAUUAAAAUUAUGUGUGUUCAGGAGACUAAGUGGGUAGGGUCUAAGGCUAGGGAUGUGGAUGGGUACAAGUUGUGGUACUCAAGCAGUGAGAGGCAUCGUAAUAAAGUAGGAAUCUUAGUGGAUAAGGAGCUAAGAGGGCAGGUGGUGGAGGUUAAGAGGGUCAGUGAUAGGCUGAUAACGAUUAAGUUGGUCAUUGGGUGGUUUAUGGUGCAUGUGUGUAGCAUUUAUGCGCCACAGUUGGGCUUGGAUGAGAAGGUGAAAGCGUGUUUUUGGGAGGUUUUAGACGAGGUGGUGAGAAGCGUUCCUAGCUCUAAGAAGAUUAUCAUAGUGAGGGACUUCAAUGGGCAUAUUGGGGUUUUACCGGGUGGUUAUAAAGAUGUGUAUGGAGGAUUUGGUUUCGGUGAAAGAAAUGGUGAGGGGGUUGCUUUGUUGGAUUUUACGAGGGCCUUUGGGCUAGUGGUUGUGAAUUCGAGCUUUCCGAAGAAGGAGGAUCACUUGAUUACCUUUCAAAGUGCAACAGCCAAGACUCAAAUUGUCUUCCUACUGCUUAGGAAGGGGGAUAGGGUUCUUUGUAAGGAUUGUAAACUCAUUCCGAGUGAGCAUCUUUUGACCCAGCACAGGCUUUUGGUGAUGAACUUAAGUAUCAAGAAGAGCAAGAGGAGUAAGGUCGGAGUGAGUCGACCUAGAAUUAAGUGGGUGGCUUGACGCCAGUUAGUACAUUGGAGAUAGGGAAGAAGGUGGAGGGAAUAGAGGUGUGGGAGUGUAGAAGGGAUGUGGAUGAUAUGUGGGAUAAGGUGGCCAGCUGCAUCAGAGAGACAGCUAGAGAGGUGUUGGGGGUAUCGAGGGGUCGGGCAGGACGACAUAAGGAGGAAUGGUGGUAGAAUUAAUAAGUUAAGAAGAAAGUAAAGAUUAAGAAGGGGGCGUAUGUUAAGUUGAUUAAGAGUAAGGAUGAAGAUAAGAAGAAGGUGAAUAGGUAGGACUACAAAGUAGCAAGGAAAGAAGCUAAGUUAGCAGUUACGGCUACUAAGACAGCAGCGUUUGAGAGCUUGUAUGUGGGGUUAGAGGAGAAAGGUUGGGAAAAAGGGUUGUAUAGGCUUCCUAAGGCUAGGGAGAAUAAGGGUCGUGACCUCGAUCAAGUGAAGUGCAUUAAGAGGAAAAAUGGUAGAUUUUUUGUGGAGGAUGUUCACAUUAAGAAGAGAUGGCAGGAGUAUUUUCAUAGACUUUUAAACAAGGAAGGGAAUAGAGGUAUUGUGUUAGGGGAGUUAGAGCGCUCGUAAAAGAGCCGUGACUUCAGUUACUGCAGAUGUUUUAAGGUUGAGGAGGUUAGAGAGGCUAUUCGUAGGAUGCAAAGUACUAGGGCAACAGGGCCUGAUGAGAUUCCAGUGGAUUGUUAGAAGUAUGAUAGGGGGAAGGUUAAGGUGGUUGACUAAUAUGUUCAACGCCAUUUUCAAGAUUGUGAGAAUGCCCGAGGCUUGGAGAUAGAGUACGAUGAUUCCGUUAAAUAAAAACAAGGGUGACAUUCAGAGUUGCAACAACUAUAGGGGUAUUACGCUGUUGAGUCACACUAUGAAGAUUUGGGAGAGGGUGGUUGAGCGAAGAUUGAGGAGGGUCGUGCCCAUUUCGUAAAUCAGUUUCGUUUUAUUCCUAGUUGCUCAACGACAGAGGCAAUCCACCUGGUGAGAAGAUUGGUGGAGCAGUAUAGGGAAAGGAAGAGGGAUUUGCACAUGGUGUUCAUCGAUCUGGAGAAAGUGUAUGACAAAGUCCCUAGGGAGGUUCUUUGGAGAUUCCUGGAGGUGAGAGGAGUUCCGGUGGCGUACAUCAGAGAUAUUAAAGACAUGUGCGAUAGAGGGAAGACUCGGGUAAGGACGGUGGGAAGAGAUUCAGGGUAUUUUCCGAUCGAGAUAGGUUUGCACCAGGGUUCGACCAUAAGCCCAUUCCUAUUUGCGUUGGUGAUGGACAUGUUGAUGCGAAGUAUUCAAGGUGAGGUACCGUGGUGUAUGUUAUUUACGAAUGAUGUAGUGUUGAUUGAUGAGUCACGGGGGAUGUGAAUGAAAAAUUGGAGGUUUGGAGGCAAACCCUUGAAUCUAAGGGGUUCAGGUUGAGUAGGUCCAAGACGAAGUAUUUGGAAUGCAAGUUUAGUGACUCGAGUUAGGAGGACAGUGUAAUGAUGAGGUUAGAAUGUCAAGAUGUUUGUAAGACAGAUAGUUUCAAGUAUCUUGGGUCUAUGAUUCAGGGAAAUGGCGAGAUUGAUGAGGAUGUCUCUAAACUUGUUAGAGCUGGUUGGAUAAAGUGGAGGCUCGUCUCAGGAGUGUUGUGAUAAGAAGGUACCCCUUAAGAUUAAAGGAAAAUUCUACAAAGUGGCAGUCCGUCCGGCCAUGCUGUAUGGAGCGGAGUGUUGGCCAGUUAAGAAAUCUCAUAUCCAAAUAUUGAAAGUAGCGGAAAUGAGAAUGUUGCAUUGGAUAUGUGGUCUUACUAGAGGGGAUAAAUUUAGGAAUGAGAUUAUCUAGGAGAAGGUAGGAGUGGCUUCGGUGGAGAACAAGAUGCAAGAAGGCAGGUUGAGAUGGUUUGGGCAUGUGAUGAGGAGGAGCACGGAUGCCCCUGUUCGGAAGUGUGAGAGGCUAGCUUUGGAUAGAUUCAAGAGGUUUAUAGGUAGGCCAAAUAAAUAAUGGGGGGAGGUGAUUAGGCAUGACAUGGAGAUGCUUCAGCUUACUGAGGACAUGACCCUAGAUAGGAAGGUGUGGAGGUCGCGGAUUAGGGUAGAAGGCUAGUGUGAGUGUGUGGGUAGUGGCUAGGGAUUAGGAGAGUUUGGGUAUGAUGGGUGUCUUAGGUAUUGUGAGAGUAUGUCACUACUAGGUGAGUAUCCUUUUUCUUAUAUUUGUUGCGUAUUGCUCCUAUUUUUUCUUAUUUCGGAAUUCUCUGAUAUUUAUUGUUAUUAUCUCUUAUCUCUUAUUUUUGUUUAUGUUAUCCACCAUGUCUCAUGUUUCAUUACGGUCUUGGUAUACUAUUCUCAUUCUUGAGCCGGGGGUCUAUCGGAAACAACCUCUCUUCCUCUUCGGAGGUAGUGGUAUGGACUGCGUACAUUUUACCCUCUCCAGACCUCACUUUGUAAGAAUACACUGGGUCUAUUGUUGUUGUUGUAUAAAAUAAUGAAUGCCGAUGUUAAAUACAAAAUAUUAUAAAUAAUAAAUAAAAAUAUAAUUAUCUUGAAAAAAUAUAUUAUGCUAUAAAUAAUUAAAAUUAUACUGUGUAGUAAAAAAUUGCAGUGUUAUGCUGUGUACGUAUGUAAAGUACUGUGCAAAAAUAUUAAAAUAAUAAUAAACUGAUAGGAAUUUAUGAAAUUAAAGAUAAUUAUCAAUAAAUUAUGUAAAAUUAAAAUAUGAAAAUAAAUGAGUAAAAACUCUAAAAUAAUGAUAAUUAUCAACAAUUUAUUGACAAUUGCAAAAAAUAUGUAAAAAAUUGCAUAUUGUGCCAUUUAACGAUCAAGGAGCCUAAAUGUGUUAAUUUUAAGUAUGGAGAGCCAAAAUUGUGAUAAGUACGGGCAAGAAUGACAUGUGAUGCUUAAAUGAUAAAAUAAAUUCAUUGCGAUAUUUGCGAGGAAUACAGUGCUUAAAUAACAAAAUGCAUUGCGAUAUGAGCCAGUAAAGGCAAAAAUGACGUGCAGUGCUUAAAUAAGAAAAUAUAUGCAUUGUGAUAUAUGCGUGCAGUGCUUAAAUAGAAAAAUAAAUGCAUUGCGAUAAGCGCCAGCAAAGGAAAAGAUGGCAUGCAGUGCUUAAAUAAUAAAAUAAAUGCAUUAUGAAAUGUUCGUGUAGUGUUUCAACAACAACAACAUACCCAGUGUAUUUCCACCUAGUGGAGUCUGGGGAGGGUAGAGUGUACACAGACCAUACCACUACCUCAAGAGAAGUAGAGAGGCUAUUUCCGAUAGCGUACAGUGCUUAAACAAGAAAAUAAAUGCAUUGCGAUAUGCGCCAGUAAAAGCAAAGAUGACAUACAGUGCUUAAAUGGUGAAAUAAAUGCAUUGCGAGGCAUGCAGUGCUUAAAUAAUAAAUUGUAUUGAGAUAUGAGUCAGUAAAGUCAAAGAUAACACGCAGUGCUUAAAUAAUAAAAUAAAUACAGUGCGAUAUGCAAGUAAAGAUAAAGCUAACGUGCAGUGCUUAAAGGAUAACAUAAAUGCAUUGUGAUGUGUGCAAAUAAAGACAAAAAUAACACGCAGUGCUUAAAAUGAUGAAAUAAAUGCAUUGUAAUGCGUGCAAGUAAAGGAAAAGAUAGACUAUAGUUCUUAGAAUAUAAAAUAAAUGCAGUGCAGUGCAUGCAAGUAAAGACAAAGAUAACAUGUGAUGCUUAAACGAUAAAAUAAAUGCAUUGCGAUGCGUGCAAAUAAAGGCAAAGAUAACAUGUAAUGUAAAAGAAAUAAAUGCAGUGCGAUAUAUGCAAGUAAAGGCAAGCAAACAUGGAUAACUAUCUUUUGGAGGGCAGACCGACCCAAUUUAUUCUAUUUUAGGGUGGACAGACCCAUGUAAAAAUGAUUAUUGAGCAAAGAAUUAUUUGGGAAUGAAAGUGUUCACAUAUUUUUGAUGUUUCUUUCAAAAUUGCCCCAGUAUCGAGCUGUGGGGUACUGGGGGUGUAAGAUUGUGUACUUGUUGGAGAGAAAGAAUGAUUAUGGGGUUUUGAUGACCGAACUCUGCAUAGAGUUUCCUACAUAUCUCAAAUGUCAGGAGAAUCAGGUCAAUGUAGUUCGAAAUAGAAAAAUAGGGUACAUUUGAUGGCAUUUUUUUAAAAUUUUAACCCAGUGUAUGAUUUAUGGCUAAAACCGCCUCUUUGAGAUUAAAAAAAUCUUGAAAAGUUGUAUGACGUCUUCGAUUGUCUACGAAGACUAAGGCCCUCAACUAGUGAAGUGACUAAAAUCUAAUAGCCUUUCAAGUGAUGAGGCUAUUGAAAUGUAAAAAGCUCUAUAUUGACAGAAGAAAUGUAAUACCUCUCGAUUGGCAAGACUAUAAAAAAUGUAAAAAAUACUCAAAAAUGGGUGCUUGGCUUAAAAACAAAAUUUCGGUAUUUGAAGGAAUAUGCUUGAAAAAAAGUCAAAUGCUCGUAUUUCAAAACUGUGCGCCUUGCAUGAAAAGUAAAAAAUGCAUGUAUGUAAAAAUAGAUACCUUGAAUGAAAGGUAAAAAAAAAAAUGUCUGUAUGCGAAAGUGGGCGUCUUGGAAAAAGGAAAGAAAAUUUUCUCGAUAAAAAGUGCUGAAAGAUGAAGAAAACACAAUCGUGUCUUGACUUCAGUUGGUACUAAUAAUUAAUAGUGUACAUACGAAUUUCCCUAUUUCCUUCCCAGCUAACUGAGAUCGACUUCAGGGUAACUCCUAUAGUUUUAAGUGGUACCUCAAACACGCCUAAGUAUCGACAAGAUUUUUUGUGUUGCUUCAAGCAAAUGUUUCGAGUUAUGCCCAUCAUCAUGCUUCAAGGGCCCUCUCUAGAAAAAAGGUCUCAUUUCGCACAUAUUUGUGUAAAAGAAAUCCCCAUUUCGUACAUACUUGAAUAUUUUUUUCUUUUUAAAUUUGGGGACAUCUAGAGAAAUACACUCACGCUCAGAAAGAAAUUAAUACAUGCAAUUGUGAUACCAAAGGCUUGACCUCCAUGUAAGUAUCCACUAAUGUGAGAACGCUUGAAAUAGGAUCCUGUAGGACUUGUUAUUGUCUUGUAAUGUAGGCUUGAGGGCGGGUAGGAUAAUAUUUGGGAUGAAAGUAACUAAUUCCUUAAUGAGCAUUACACUGCAUUUGUGUUUUUAACAGUUGUUGUGCUUUGACGCGUGAUCUUCUUUGUUGCGCUUCAUUGUUCCUUGUUUUGUAUUCGUGUCGACUUUUUUUUUUAAUUUUGUGUUGGAGUUUUUUCCCUUUUUUUAAGAAAUUAUAUAUUUUUUGUUCUUUUUUUUCUUCUCUUUUUUUCUGGUGGGGUUUUGCUCCUGUUCAAAUCGUUUUUUCAUUUUUUUUUCAUCUGGAAAAUAUAUCCUUUGCAUUUUACAUUUUUUAUCUUGAAUAUUCGUCCGCAAUUUGCACGCAUUUAGUGCGCUCAAGGAGGUAGGGCCAAGAGAGAGAUAGUGCACGUAAACACUCAAAAAGGUAUAGGCUCAAAUGCGGUUGUUCAAAAAAAAGUUUUAGGCUCAAAAGAGGAAAUGCUAGGGAUUAAUGUCAUUUAGUGGGCUGUGAAAGGCUCAAUCGGUCCAAAGAAGGCCUACAAUCCUUUCGUAAAUCAAGUGUAACUCAGAAUUUCACCUCAAUGGACAUUAAGAACAAGUUCUAGAUCAACAAUGCAAUACAAUGAAUUAAACUAAAGCUAACCACACAAUGCACAUGAAACAAUGAUAUUAGUUUCGUUCUUGUUUUAAAUGUAGGCAAGAGAAUUUUCAAGCAUUACUUAGGUGUGAUAAAGGUACCAAAAGAAUCUAUGGUUUACCAUGAAGUCGGUCCUUUUCAUCAUACCAGUUUGUUCUUUCUCAUGCACACUCCUAACGGUAUCGGUAACAACCAAGUCAAAAUUAAUUUUUAUUAUUUUUUUUUUUUUGAAAAGAAUGAGACCGAAUCCAAACGAGGGUUGCCUACGUAUCUUGUAAAAACAAGAAUCAGACCUGCGUAGUUCAGGCAAAUUUGCAAAUUAGUAUGUGCAAUGUAUGAUUGUAAAAAUAAUGAUGGUCAUCCUAAAAAAUAAUAUGAAAGAUGAUCGGGAAUGAAUUGCUUUUAACAUUAAAAAUGCACUGAUCAAAUGAUCGAAAGAAUGAAUAUCAAGCAUGGGGAGAGCUUUGACACAACUUCAGUAUGCUGACAAGAUUGAAAAAGUCAGACAUUAAAGGAAUAAUGACAUUAUUUCGUCGUAGUUGCAGUAUUAUUAUAACUGAAAAAAUAUUGAACUUCUGCUUUUGAAAGUGAGGAUCGAUACGCCAUAAAUUUAAUGAUUUACGACAUUCAAAAGAAGAAGCUAAGUAUUCUUGCACAAAAAUUUGGUGAGGAUCUUAAGAUAGGUCGACUAAGCACUAAUGUCAAUGAGAUUUGGAUUUGAUGAGCUAUUGAUUUGUACUCUUGAGGACUUUUGAAGAGCGNNNNNNNNNNNNNNNNNNNNNNNNNNNNNNNNNNNNNNNNNNNNNNNNNNNNNNNNNNNNNNNNNNNNNNNNNNNNNNNNNNNNNNNNNNNNNNNNNNNNNNNNNNNNNNNNNNNNNNNNNNNNNNNNNNNNNNGUCUUUGAGCUGUUUCAAAAAAAUUUCUCAGUUUAAAUGCAGGAGAAAUUAUUCUGAAACGGUGGAGAGACCGAAUUCUAAUGCAGAGUUGCCUAUGUAUCUUGUCAGGACAAGAAUCGGGUCAAAACGUAGUUCAAACCUAUAUGAAGCUAAUGACGAUGUUAUUAAGGUGCAUUUUUAACUGAUUUGUUAUGCAAAACAAAGGUUAGACUACACUCUCUCACUAAAGUAUAAUCAAUUUAGAGCAAAAAAAUAUGUACAGACACAAUAAUCCUUUAAAUAUGUACAAACACUAUGAUAAUGCGUCACUUGGGUCGUGAAUCCUUCGGACAUAAAGUUACUAACGAUGCAUGCACCUAAAAUGGUGUUAUUUAACUAUAUCCCAUGUUGACUAAGAGUGGGUAGACACAUACUUAGAUUUCCCAUAUGAGAAGGCACGUAGUCCCACGACAGUAGAACUCCCAUUCACCCCACGCAUGCGCGGACUCUCUAAAAUAAGAUGAUUUGAAAGAAUUUUGGGAAAGUACAAUGUACAAUAUGUGUGAGUAUCAAUUUUCAAAAUGAAGAAAAUAUGAACGGAAUGUCAAUUUAUAUAAAGCGAUAAACAAAUAAAUAAUUUAUGCCACAUAAACAAAAGAAAUCAAGAUAAUUAGUAUGAAACAAAUAACAAUAUUUAAAAACAUAAAUAUUUACCUAAAUCUAUAACGGUUAGAGCCAUUCUCAAUCCCCUGCAGAGUCGCCAAACUGUCAUACUCAAUUUUUACCUAAGGUCAAAACGAGCACGACAUUAUGAACUCAAAAAGAAUUAAUUUUGUACAGAGUCGCCAGCUAAUUUUUAAGGAAAAAUAGAAAACCUAUUUAUUUAUUUAACAAGUAUGACUUUAUUUCAAUCUACGAAACCAAUUUAAAUUCUAGGUAAGGGUUCGAAUUAUUUCGAAGGGAAGAGAUUAGACACCCUUCAAAAUGCACAAAUACGAUUUCCAACCAGUCAGGUUUAUUAAAAGAGAAAAAAAAAAUCAAUAUUUUAAAUGCAACUAUAAAAUGUGUAUUAAAAUAAUAUAGACAAUUUAAUAUAAAAGUAUGAAUUAUUUGAUUAAAUAUGUGAAUCAAUUUUAAUAUAAAAUGUUAACAGCCUAAAUUUGCCUAAACGCGCGAUGAAUAUUUGUAUAAAAGUAUUCUCACCCCACGCCCCAAAAAAUAAAAUUUUCACUAUAAUUGAUAUUUGUACAAUGAUAAGAAUAAAGGAAAAUACAAAUACAAAAAAAAUUCAAACUCUUCUUUGAAUAUCAUUUCCGGCUAGUAUUCCCGAGAACCAAAAGAAUAUCAUUCCCGACGAGUAUUCCCGAGAAUCUACACAAAUGCUUGUAAUAAAAAUAUUAGUAACAAAUAAAUAAUUAUCAAAAUAAAUUUAAAAGGUAUGUGUGCAUAUAUGUAUUUAAAAAUAUAUUUUUUUGCUAAAAAAAUAGGCUCAAAUUAGAUUUAAGAUACAACUUGGAUACGAAGUAGUUGCUGAUUUGUUAGCCAUCCUAAAAAAACUUUUUGCGUUGUUAUAAAAAUUUCAUCAUCGCCCAAAUUUAUUUAUUUUAUUACGUAUUUAUAUAUGCAAUAUCCGUCUUUUAUAAUGAGAUGACCUCAAAUAUCUAAUCGGAGAGAUAAUUUCAUUGGAGAAUAGCAUAGUAUUUGUUCGUUAUUAAUUUAAUAAAAUUAAUAUGGACAAAAAUGUAAUGUAAUUGCCCAAAAGAGAGACAAUAGCAGCCAUGAAACUAGCAUAGCAACAACCCAAAACAAAGGCAAUAACAACUAUGAUACCCGCAAAGAAACAACCAAAAUAAAGGUAAUAACUGCUAUGACACCAGCAAAGUAACAACCAAAAUAAAGGUAAUAACAGCUAUGAUACCAGCAAAGUAACAACGAAAAUACCCGAACAAAUCACAAAUCUACUAAAGAUUUGAAAAAAAAUGAUAUAAUGAACAACAACAAAUAGAUCAAGCAAAUAAUUACAACAUAUACAAAUAUGUAUCAAAGAAGAGGUCAUCGGAUACGACAUCUUGUCUGCCAGAUCCGUGUAAAACAAAGCCCACAACAUACAAAAUUAAUGAGACGCAGUUCAUCAGAAGUAAAACUCGAAGCAAUGGUAAUUACCAUUACCGGCGUUGCUUUAACGACUUUCGCCGAAGCAACGCCGGAUACACAAAGCUCCGGACAGAUCUGGUGGUUUCUCACUGGGGGGAUUCGCCGGAAAUGCAAAAAAGGAGGGCGGCGCCGGUAGUUUGGGCUAGAGCUCGCCGGAGAUGGAGGAAGAGGAUAGAAGGGAGAGAGGGGUGGUGGUGCCUGGUGGUUUGCCGAAAUUCGGCCAUAGCUCACCGAAGAGAGGAGAGAAAAAAAAGGUCCACUGAUUUUGUGCGUAUGUGCUUGUAUUUUGUGUGUAGUGUGUGGGUGGA